RNAcentral lists this long non-coding RNA (516 nucleotides) under Anas zonorhyncha (Eastern spot-billed duck). Its description in RNAcentral is "lncRNA (ENSAZOG00000000597.1)". Lineage: Eukaryota; Metazoa; Chordata; Aves; Anseriformes; Anatidae. The record is from RNAcentral.
AUGGUUCAAAUGUCCAUGCUUGGUUUCUUUUUCCCCAUUGCUAUGUUUCCUCCUUCCGCUCCAACGACAGUUUUACUUGCCAUUUCUAUUCCCCUGUCAGCAGCAUUCGUCGUCGUCUCUGGCUCGGGCGCUUCUGAAACUCUGUUUAACUGUACUUCCCAGGAGCUUGUUCAGCAAUGUCAAUACAUUAUGGAAUCAAUGGGGAACAGGAAGAAGACAAGCAGGAAACUAGAUUUGAGACCACAACUCUUCUGUCCUCUGAAGCGCUUUCACUUGGAGAAGUUGCAUGAUGCAGUGGAAUUUUUCUUCUUUAUGUCUGUCUUGGCUAAAGCAAGACAGACGAGCUUGAAAAGGCUCGCCCUCCUCAAGGAACGCUAUCUGAUUCGUAAGCAUUCCUAGAGGUUAAGGCUGGUGACUAUCAAGAAAGCAAAUACUUCACGCAAGGCAUGAAAGGAAGCAUGCCAGUGGUACAAGGAAAAGAGGUGGAUGUUGGUGAUCUACCCUCUUACAUGGAAG